This 331-nucleotide unclassified non-coding RNA is filed under the name soil metagenome. Its description in RNAcentral is "partial contains 5.8S ribosomal RNA, internal transcribed spacer 2, and large subunit ribosomal RNA". The stretch from base 1 to 120 matches the Rfam family "5.8S ribosomal RNA", at positions 35 to 154 of the family's 154-position model. The record is from RNAcentral.
GAUGAAGAACGUAGCGAAACGCGAUAUGUAAUGUGAAUUGCAGAAUUCAGUGAAUCAUCGAAUCUUUGAACGCACAUUGCGCCCCCUGGUAUUCCGGGGGGCAUGCCUGUUCGAGCGUCAUUUCACCACUCAAGCCUCGCUUGGUAUUGGGCAACGCGGUCCGCCGCGUGCCUCAAAUCGUCCGGCUGGGUCUUCUGUCCCCUAAGCGUUGUGGAAACUAUUCGCUAAAGGGUGUUCGGGAGGCUACGCCGUAAAACAACCCCAUUUCUAAGGUUGACCUCGGAUCAGGUAGGGAUACCCGCUGAACUUAAGCAUAUCAAUAAGCGGAGGA